AUUGCAAUAGAUUUUUAAUUGCAGAAUAUACUUUUUCUUAUGAUAUUUCAUAAGUUAGAGAAAUUAUUUUAUAAUAAAAUUGGACUGUAUUUUUGAAUAUCAUUUAAAUAAAAUUUAUAAAAUGUGUUGUUAUAAUGAUAUGUUAAGAGAUAUUUUCUUUUUGCUGUUUUAUAAUGAAAUAUCAAUUGUUUAAUAAUGUAUAAAGUAGUAAAGAAGAAUAGACACAUUCAAUUUUUUGGUAACAAAUGAAUGAUAUUUUAACUGUUUCAUUUAAAAAAUGUCAAGUUUUGAUGAUUUAACAUGCUCAAAAUUUACAAUUAAAAUAUGUCAAAGAUUUAAUGUCACGAGUACUUUAGCCACGCCGCAUUUUAACAAGUAGAUAACGAAUUGCAGACUGAAGAUGAUUUCGUACGCUGAUAAGAUUUAACAUCGAUUUAAUGAAAUAACGUGUGCAUACCAGCGGUUUCAUCAUAAUGUUCAUUGGUACAAAACUGAAUCUUCGUGAAACUUUGAAAUACUUCAGAAGCAAUCUAUUGUACAUUUGAAGCAAUCUUCAGAAAUAUCAGCAAAAAAGAGACGCAAAGGAUAAACGCGAAUUAAAAAUGACAAAUAUCUAUUAUACAAAGAAAAGGAUUAACAUAUGAUUUUUUAAAGUAAAUUUAAAAAUGUAAGUCAGAAAAAGUGAAGUCAGAUAAUUUGUAUAUAUUUUUAGUAAGCUUUCCAUAUAAAUAAAAUAUUAUAAUUUGUACACAUAAGUUAAUUAAAGAACUUGAUUUACAUAGAAA
This is a long non-coding RNA of Solenopsis invicta (red fire ant), 785 nucleotides long. RefSeq lists it as uncharacterized. The record is from RefSeq and is a predicted model, not a curated record. NCBI's taxonomy places the organism in Eukaryota, Metazoa, Arthropoda, Insecta, Hymenoptera, Formicidae. The transcript has 2 exons.